Molecule: long non-coding RNA, 948 nt
Filed under: Homo sapiens (human)
Lineage: Eukaryota; Metazoa; Chordata; Mammalia; Primates; Hominidae
Description: non-protein coding lnc-SPOPL-12:1
Source: RNAcentral
GCCACUGGAUGACACCCUCUGCAUGGGUACAGACGCCUCGGAGAUGCUGGCUGAGAUCUUGCAGCUGCAGUAGAUCUAGGUGGACAUCAUCCUGGUGAAGACCAUUGAGACCAUGAUGGUAGGCGAGGAGGAGGACAAUGACAAUGAAGACGGUGGCAGGGGUGGCCAUAGGCAUAGGGUGUGACCACCCACACCACCUGGCCAGGAUCUGCUGCAGCCAUUCCUCACGACGACCUCACCCAGGUUCACCACCACCAGGAGGUGAUCCUGGUGCAGGCAUGCCAGGAGGUGGUGGGUAGCGACGACUUGGAUGGGGAACCAGAUACUCAUCCUGGUGCCAGAGCUGGCCAGCGGCGACCACCACCACCACCUCGAGCAGGCCCUGGUCACCAUCGUGGGGGCUGGCAAGGGUGGAUGUGGCACCAUCUUGGGCAACAAGAAGUGGGGGCAGAAGCGAGUGCAGAUCAGGAACCUGGAGGGCAAGUUAUCUGUCUCCAUGUGGUACUCGGAUGAAAACAAAAAGACAUUAACCAUAAAAUAGUGGUUGAGAAACAGAUCACUGGAGAGAACUCACCUCCUGAUUAUUCAGAGUAUAUGACAGGAAAGAAACUUCCUCCUUGGAGGAAUACCUGGCAUUGACAGCUCAGAUCCCAAAAAACUGCAGAAUUCGCCAGAAUGAAGCCAAGAAAAAUUUAAAAGAUGAUGUUCCAUGAACAAUAGCUGGCCCUCGCCAAGGCUGCACAAAGAUGUUCAAGGAUAACUGACAUGAGAAAACAUCUGCACACUCACUGUCACGGAGUCCACUUCUGCACAGAAUGUAGAAGAGCUUUUGUUGAGAGCUCAAAACAAAAACCACACAAACUGGUUCACACUGGAGAGAAGCUGUUUCAGUUCACGUUUGAAGACCGUGGGAAAUGCUUUUCACUGGACUUCAAUUUCCACACACAU